This 253-nucleotide ribosomal RNA is filed under the name uncultured bacterium. RNAcentral's name for it is "partial 16S ribosomal RNA". It matches the Rfam family "Bacterial small subunit ribosomal RNA", at positions 524 to 776 of the family's 1533-position model. The record is from RNAcentral.
UACGGAGGAUCCAAGCGUUAUCCGGAUUUAUUGGGUUUAAAGGGUGCGUAGGCGGCGUGCUAAGUCAGGGGUGAAAGACGGUGGCUCAACCAUCGCAGUGCCUUUGAUACUGAUGAGCUUGAAUGUUGAUGAAGAUGGCGGAAUGAGACAAGUAGCGGUGAAAUGCAUAGAUAUGUCUCAGAACACCGAUUGCGAAGGCAGCUAUCUAAGCAAUGAUUGACGCUGAUGCACGAAAGCGUGGGGAUCAAACAGG